Molecule: ribosomal RNA, 1966 nt
Filed under: human gut metagenome
Description: bacterial LSU rRNA
Rfam family: Bacterial large subunit ribosomal RNA
Source: RNAcentral
GAAAGUAAAAAAGGGCGCAUGGCGGAUGCCUUGGCUCUCGGAGGCGAUGAAGGACGUGAUAAGCUGCGAUAAGCUUUGGGGAGGUGCAAAUGACCUUUGAUCCAGAGAUUUCCGAAUGGGACAACCCAAUAUCUUGAAGAGGUAUUAUCCAACGUUGUUGGAGGCUAACGCAGGGAACUGAAACAUCUUAGUACCUGCAGGAAAAGAAAAUAAACAAUGAUUCCCCCAGUAGUGGCGAGCGAACGGGGAACAGCCCAAACCAUCCAUGUUACGGCAUGGGUGGGGUUGUAGGACUACGUCGUUGCAUGAAGACAUCAGAGAAGAACUUUCUGGAAAGAAAGACCAUAGAGCAUGACAGUUGCGUAUUCGAAUGUUGUCGAAGCAUAGUAGUAUCCUGAGUAGCGCGGAGCACGAGGAAUUCUGCGUGAAUCUGCCGGGACCAUCCGGUAAGGCUAAAUACUCCCGAGAGACCGAUAGCGAACCAGUACCGUGAGGGAAAGGUGAAAAGCACUUCGAACAGAAGAGUGAAAUAGUUCCUGAAACCGUGCGCCUACAAGCGGUCGGAGCUCGUUAAUGAGUGACGGCGUGCCUUUUGCAUAAUGAACCUACGAGUUGCCUUUGCCGGCAAGGUUAAGUGUGACGACACACGUAUCCGAAGCGAAAGCGAGUCUGAAUAGGGCGUAUAGUCGGCAGUGGCAGACGCGAAACCAAGUGAUCUACCCUUGGCCAGGUUGAAGGCUGGGUAACACCAGCUGGAGGACCGCACCAAUAAGCGUUGAAAAGCUUCUGGAUGAGCUGAGGGUAGGGGUGAAAGGCUAAUCAAACUUGGAGAUAGCUCGUACUCCCCGAAAUGCAUUUAGGUGCAGCCUUGCGGGUUACUGAUGUGAGGUAGAGCGACUGAUAAGAUGCGAGGGCUUCACCGCCUAUCAAGUCUUGACAAACUCCGAAUGCGCAUCAGUUCUACCGCAGGAGUGAGGGCAUGGGUGCUAAGGUCCGUGCCCGAGAGGAGAAGAAUCCGGACCACCUGCUAAGGUCCCGAAAUGACAGCUAAGUUAAACUAACGAAGUCUGACUGCUAAGACAGCUAGGAUGUUGGCUUGGAAGCAGCCAUUCAUUUAAAGAGUGCGUAACAGCUCACUAGUCGAGGAGUCGGGCGUGGAUAAUAAUCGGGUAUCAAGUUGUCUACCGAAGCAGUGGGAUCAUUGAUAUGAUCGGUAGGGGAGCAUUCCAGUCAGCGUCGAAGGCGUACCGUGAGGUAUUCUGGAGCGUCUGGAAAAGCAAAUGUAGGUAUAAGUAACGAUAAAGGGGGCGGGAAACCCCCUCGCCGAAAGACUAAGGUUUCCUGAUCAACGCUAAUCGGAUCAGGGUCAGUCGGGUCCUAAGGCUCAGCCGAACGGCGAUGCCGAUGGCAGAAACGGUUAAUAUUCCGUUACUACCUUCAGGAGUGACGUGGAGACGCAGUAGUGACAGUGCCGCCAUCUGACGGAAUAGAUGGUUGAAGGGUGUAGGAGUCGAUCAUGGCAGGCAAAUCCACCAUGAGAUCCGAACCUGAUAGUAUGCCGCGUCCUUCGGGACAAGGCAAUAGUGCGCGUAAGCAUGCUGCCGAGAAAAUCCGCUAAACUUAAUCCUGCAGGUACCCGUACCGCAAACGGACACACGUAGUCGGGAUGAAUAUUCUAAGGCGCUUGAGUGAUUCACGGUUAAGGAACUAGGCAAACUGACCCUGUAACUUCGGGAUAAAGGGUCCCUACCCUUUUAUGGGAGGGCGCAGAGAAUCGGUCCAGGCAACUGUUUAACAAAAACACAGGGCUGUGCCAAAUCGAAAGAUCCAGUAUACAGCCUGACACCUGCCCGGUGCUGGAAGGUUAAGAGGAGAUGUCAUCGAUAAGAGAAGCGUUGAAUUGAAGCCCCAGUAAACGGCGGCCGUAACUAUAACGGUCCUAAGGUAGCGAAAUUCCUUGUCGGGU